GGAAGGAUCGUCAUGGGCAAGACAAAGUAUUUGCUAAAUCCUUAGAGAUUCCUCUUUGUGGGUUCGAAUCCCUCUUCUUCCG
RNAcentral lists this transfer RNA (82 nucleotides) under Podila minutissima. Its description in RNAcentral is "Mortierella minutissima tRNA". It matches the Rfam family "tRNA". From Rfam's summary of the family: Transfer RNA (tRNA) molecules are approximately 80 nucleotides in length. Their secondary structure includes four short double-helical elements and three loops (D, anti-codon, and T loops). Lineage: Eukaryota; Fungi; Mortierellomycota; Mortierellomycetes; Mortierellales; Mortierellaceae. The record is from Rfam by way of RNAcentral. RNAcentral also lists the same sequence under 2 other names.